UACAGAGGUCUCAAGCGUUGUUCGGAUUCAUUGGGCGUAAAGGGUGCGUAGGCGGCGCGGUAAGUCGGGUGUGAAAUCUCGGAGCUUAACUCCGAAACUGCAUUCGAUACUGCCGUGCUUGAGGACUGGAGAGGAGACUGGAAUUUACGGUGUAGCGGUGAAAUGCGUAGAUAUCAUUUGGAACGCCAAUGGUGAAAACAGCUUGCUGGGGGUUUGCUGACGCUGAGACACGAAAGCCAGGGGAGCAAACGGG
RNAcentral lists this ribosomal RNA (253 nucleotides) under uncultured bacterium. RNAcentral's name for it is "partial 16S ribosomal RNA". It matches the Rfam family "Bacterial small subunit ribosomal RNA", at positions 524 to 776 of the family's 1533-position model. The record is from RNAcentral.